GAGCCUGUAGUUCAGCCUGGUAGAACGCCGCUCUGAUAAGGCGGAAGUCCUCGGUUCAAAUCCGAGCAGGCUCA
RNAcentral lists this transfer RNA (74 nucleotides) under Nanobdellota archaeon. RNAcentral's name for it is "tRNA-Ile". It matches the Rfam family "tRNA". From Rfam's summary of the family: Transfer RNA (tRNA) molecules are approximately 80 nucleotides in length. Their secondary structure includes four short double-helical elements and three loops (D, anti-codon, and T loops). Lineage: Archaea; Nanobdellati; Nanobdellota. The record is from RNAcentral.